This 426-nucleotide ribosomal RNA is filed under the name uncultured bacterium. Its description in RNAcentral is "partial 16S ribosomal RNA". It matches the Rfam family "Bacterial small subunit ribosomal RNA", at positions 354 to 796 of the family's 1533-position model. The record is from RNAcentral.
GUGAGGAAUUUUCCGCAAUGGGCGAAAGCCUGACGGAGCAAUGCCGCGUGAAGGAUGAAGGCCUAUGGGUUGUAAACUUCUUUUCUCAGAAAAGAAUUAUGACGGUAUCUGAGGAAUAAGCAUCGUCUAACUCUGUGCCAGCAGCCGCGGUAAGACAGAGGAUGCAAGCGUUAUCCGGAAUGAUUGGGCGUAAAGCGUCUGUAGGUUGUUUAAAAAGUAUUCUGUCAAAGAUUAGGGCUUAACCCUAGAUAGGCAGAAUAAACUUUUAAGCUAGAGUUUGGUAGAGGCAGAGGGAAUUCCCGGUGGAGCGGUGAAAUGCGUAGAUAUCGGGAGGAACACCAAAGGCGAAGGCACUCUGCUGGGCCAAUACUAACACUGAGAGACGAAAGCGAGGGGAGCAAAUGGGAUUAGAUACCCUUGUAGUCC